RNAcentral lists this long non-coding RNA (1548 nucleotides) under Homo sapiens (human). Its description in RNAcentral is "HSALNT0404612". Lineage: Eukaryota; Metazoa; Chordata; Mammalia; Primates; Hominidae. The record is from RNAcentral.
CAGCGAGCACGUGAGCGCAGAGCCAGCUCCGGAGCGCUACGGCGCGCGUGGCGGCACACCUGCUCCCCGAGGCUGAUCGUUAACAGCCGUGGGCAGGGGUUGGGCCAGGGUACAGCUGUCAGGACCUCACUGGACAGGACCGGAGAGGACCCCGCGUAACCGCGGAACAGACACUCCCGGCAGCGGCCGCCGCCGCGGCACUGCUACGGGACGAGCCGGAGCGCUUGGCCAUGGCGGCCCGAUCCGCACUGGCGCUGCUGCUGCUGCUGCCAGUCCUGCUCCUGCCGGUGCAGAGCCGCUCAGAGCCCGAGACCACCGCGCCCACCCCUACCCCAAUCCCGGGUGGCAACUCGUCAGUGAGCAGGCCCCUGCCCAGCAUCGAGCUCCACGCCUGCGGCCCAUACCCCAAACCAGGCCUGCUCAUCCUGCUGGCCCCGCUGGCCCUGUGGCCCAUUCUCCUGUAGGGACGCCCAGCCAGCCACCUCUAAGUCGCCGCUGGGACUGGCCUGCCCCAUUGAGCAACAGAGACGCUUGACAGCCGCCCGCCUCCAUUCCUUGACUUCACCCAGAAAUGGGUCCAGAAAACUGAAUCCCACCAGCACUGGUUUGGAGCAACCGGACACCGAGGUUUCACCUCCAGGGAUUCCAUGAAGAGCCUCAAUGGAGAUGCCACAUCCUACUGAGUUAAAGAUGGGCUGAGGAACUUGGGUACCCACAAGUCUGCCUUGGGAAUCAAAAGAAAAUAUUUACCUUUAGUUUGGUUCAUUAAAUGCAUGAAGUCAAAAUAUGACCAGGAGAACAAUAAUAAGGAAAAAGUUAACUUUUGACUAAAGCCGAAUUCCUGAUUCUAAGAUUUAAAGGUCACCUACCAGGAUUAAGAUUUGGUCCUCACAACUGUUACCUGAAGUUGUAAUGCAGUAGAGAGAAUGAGAAGAGAGAGAGGUCAGAAAGUCACCCAGUAAACAAAAGGACCACAGAUUUUUCUCCAUCCUCAACAGAGAUUCCAGUUGAUGAAGAAGGCUGCCAUGCAGGCUCAGGGCAAGGAAAGGGAAUGUGCUGCUAGCACUGGACCUCAGCUCCGGGCAAGGCUGCACCUUCUGAACCGACGGCCCAGGAGCGAAGUGACCCAUACUUCCUCCAAAGCAUCACUCUCCAGACAUGGUAAUCCAGGCCCAGAAGCAAAGGUCAGUCCCACUGUGCCUGUCACACACUCUGCUCCUCUACACCCUCCUCUAGGAAAUGAAAGAGGAAGGAUGUUGAUCUCUAGGGUCUUUUAAAUUGUUCCAAAUAAAUAAAAUAGAAUUAUUUUCUCUUACUAAAAAUAAAACACUGAUUUUCAUAUUAAAGACAAAUUAAUUUUGCAAAGGAUUAAAAAAGCAGAAAUCCAAAUCAGUUUAGCAGAAAGAUGAACAGAUGGAUUUCUGAGGUCCACUGGCCUGCAUCCAAAUUUCGCAGCCUAGCCCACGGUUAAACUCGAUCUGGAGUCUUCCAGCUCCUCCUCCUACAGGGAAACCCCCACUCUCCCUGGACUGUGGUCCACAGGAGAAC